Non-coding RNA from Podarcis lilfordi (Lilford's wall lizard), 71 nucleotides. The record is from the annotation of a GenBank genome assembly. NCBI's taxonomy places the organism in Eukaryota, Metazoa, Chordata, Lepidosauria, Squamata, Lacertidae.
GGUCCUCAGCUCAGUGGUAGAGCACCUGCUUUGCAUGCAGGUGGUCUCAGAUUCAAUCCCCAGCAUGACCA